UUUGUGCUUAAUUUAAAGUAUACUUAACAUAUACUUUUAAAAAGUGUACUUCGCAAUAAAUGUCAUUAAAUUCAACUUUAACGUACUUAAAAAUAAGUAUACUAAUUCUGCAAUACUUAAAGCGGUAUUGCUUUGUACUUUUAAAAAAGUAUACUUUAUUUUAAGUUUAUUUAAAUUGUACAUAAGUGUACUUAGAAAAAGUAUACUAAAUUGCAAAUACUUAUAGUGGUAAUUUAGUGUAUUUAUAAAAAGUGUACUUUAUUGUAAGUGUAUUGUAAUUUGUACCUUAGUGUACUUCUGAAAAGUACACUCAUUUUCAAGUAUUUUGGAAUUCACUAUUAAAAUACUUUUUUUAAAGUGUAAUUUAAUUUCACUUCAUUAGAAGUGUAUUGAAGUAUACUUCCGUAAAGUUCACUUUAAUUUAAGUUAAUUUUAAGCUGUAUUUCAGUAUACUUAGCAAAAGUAUACUAAGUUUCAAAUACUUAAAGUGGUAUUUUAGUGUACUUCUGAAAAGUACACUUUGUUUCAAGUCCUUUGUAAUACACUAUUAAAAUGCUUUUUUAGAGUGUAAUUUAAUUUCACUUCAUUAGAAGUGUAUUUAAGUGUACUUCCAUGAAGUGCACUUUAAUGCAAAUACUUUUUAAGCUGUAUUUCAGUGUACUUAGAAAAAGUAUACUAAGUUGCACAUACUUAAAGUGGUACUUUAGUGUACUUCUGAAAAGUACACUUCAUUUCAAGUCCUUUGUAAUACACUAUUAAAAUGCUUUAUCAAAGUAUACUUAAAUUUCCCUUUAUUAGUAGUGUAUUUAAGUAUACUUCCUUACAGUUCACUUUAAUGCAAGUUAAUUUUAAGCUGUAUUUCAGUGCACUUAGAAAAAGUAUACUAAAUUGCAAAAACUUAUAGUUGUCAUUCAGUGUGAUUCUGAAAAGUACACUUAGUAAUACACUAUUAACAUGCUUCAUUUUUAGUAUACUUUAAUUUCACUUCAUUAGAAGUUUAUUUAAGUAUAUUCAUACAUCAUCACAACCAAAGUGUUGAAUUAAUCAAAAAAAUACAGAUAAAUAAUACUGAAAUGGCUACUUUUACUAGCUCCAACGACUAACUAUUAAAGAAAAUCCAAGGCUAUAACCAAAAUUUGAAAAUAGCAAGUUUAUAACGGCCAUCCAAUCAGUGUGCGGCUGCAAAUCGACGUCCAAUGAGAAUGUAGUAUUUAGGUCGCCAAUUGGUGGUUUACUCAAAUACACUUGGCGCGGACGGUUAGUGUUCCAUUUGAAAUUGAGCAGUGAGCACCUAAUAUCUCCGGGUCAAACAAUGACAGUGUUUGGUUUGUUUUAUUUCCAAGACGGCUCCGUUAGAGCAGAUAAUACAUCCGUCAUACGUGAUGCAUACAGAAAUAAAAAAAAUAACGGUUAACUGCAGGGAAGACCUCGAGUCGGAGCAGGGCUGGAUAGAGGUAAUUUGGCCUACACAACGGCGACAACAAGAGGCGAAGCCUAUUGCAGCCAAAUUGCUUUUCUUUGGAGACACGGUGAGGGAGAAAUUCCCCAACACCAUGGUUAGUGAGAUCCGGGCCCUGCUGCGGAGGAAAUGCAAUAAUGAGGGCUACACCAAGGUUGCUCCUCAGUAGCUUUAUUAUAUAUGUUAUAUAUGUCAGAUGUUUUAAAGUUAGGUGUUAUUGAAUGUAUGUUUGUAUUAAUAUUUAAAUUAAAGUUUUGGUUUGUACAAUUUAAGUGUUUUUUGUCAUGGAACAAAAUAGCACCCAUGGAGUGUACUAAAAUGGUACCAGAAAGAAGUGCAUGUGAAGUAUAAUAUGUAUUGUAAGUAUAUUUCUGUAGUAUUUAUAAAGUACUUAGUAGUAUAACAGUAUUGUACUUAAAAUACCCUUAAUAUACGCUUCCACUUUACAUUAUAGUAUAAUAACUAUACUUUAAGUACAUGCCUUUGAUGCUUAAAUUGUGACACAAAUUGACUAUAAAUACAUAAUAAAUGCAUUUUUAGUUACAUAAUUGCACACUUUAAAAGUACUAAAUAUAGUCAGAAAGUGUACUUGAAUUUAAUUAGAAAUAUGACAGAGGAAUGAUAAUAGUGUGUUAAAAAUACACUUCUAUUAUGUAGUAUAAGCAGUGAUAAAAUACACUCAAUAUACACUUCUGCUCCUCUUUAGAGUAUAAUAACAUUGUACUUAAAGUGCAUGCCUUUGAUGCUGCAAUUGUGAUAGAAAUGUACUAUAAAUACAUUUUAAUUAACAUAAUGGCAGACUUAAAAAGUACUAAAUAUAGUCAGAAAGUGUAUUUGAAUUUAAUUUGAAAUAUGACAGAAGUAUGAUAAUAGUGUGUUCAAAAUAUACUUAUAUACUACUAUCAAUUGAACCAUACUGCCUUUUUAAGUAUAUUUCAAACACACUGGUAAUAUAAUGCUAUUGUACUGCAAGAGUGUUUCAAAUGCUAGAAAUCAUACUUUUCACUAGUGUACUUCAGUACACUUAAAGGUUGUAUAGGUGAUUUGCUUUUUUGGCCAUUUUUGCAAAAUUACUUGAAAUCCUUAUCAUAACCCGCUUACAGCCACUGAGUUAGAAGUACUGACAUGAAAAUUAAACAAGUCAAUCAUCUGUGGAACGGGCAGGGCUCGAAAAACUCCAGCCAAUCAUUUCCAUUGCCACCGAGUUGCAUUGGACAUGCAGUACGACCGUUUGAUUGACGUACUUACUGUCCAAUGCAACUCGGUGGCAAUGGAAAUGAUUGGCUGGAGUUUUUCGAGCCCUGCCCGUUCCACAGAUGAUUGACUUGUUUAAUUUUCAUGUCAGUACUUCUAACUCAGUGGCUGUAAGCGGGUUAUGAUAAGGAUUUCAAGUAAUUUUGCAAAAAUGGCCAAAAAAAGCGAAUCACCUACCCAACCUUUAACUGUAU
Gadus morhua (Atlantic cod) is the source of this 2907-nucleotide long non-coding RNA. NCBI's taxonomy places the organism in Eukaryota, Metazoa, Chordata, Actinopteri, Gadiformes, Gadidae. The record is from Ensembl.